ACUGUAAAUAGUAGUUGUAUCAACUACAGCUAAGGAGAAAAGAGACCUGAAAAUAGAUCGUGAUGUAGUAAAUGAUUUAACUACAAGUAUUUUAGCAUUCUUAAGAGAUUGUCGAAUAUUAGCAAAUCUCUCAUGGCUUUCUUCGAAAUGUUUCUGAGAUAACUUAGAAGUAACGUUACGCAAUUGGACAUGGAACCAGAAUGUAGAACCUUCUCCAUAAACAGACUGAACACCGAUGUCUCCAUCCAUUAUUUUGCAUAUUUGAAGGCAAAUAGAGAGCCCAAGGCCUGAACCUCCAUAGAUUCUAGUAGUGCUACCAUCGACUUGA
Schizosaccharomyces pombe (fission yeast) is the source of this 328-nucleotide non-coding RNA. The record is from the annotation of a GenBank genome assembly. Lineage: Eukaryota; Fungi; Ascomycota; Schizosaccharomycetes; Schizosaccharomycetales; Schizosaccharomycetaceae.